GAGAGGAAGACACCUGCAGCCCUGCUUCGCCACUUGUGAAGCUUCCCCUCUGCAGGUGGGGAGUAAGGGUUUGAACCUGGGUCCUUAUACACUGUAAUAGGUGCGCUUAACCAGGUCUGCCACUGCCUGGCCUGAAAACUUCCUCUUUAAAAAGUCCUGCAUUUCCCACCUGCGGGGGGGGGGGGGGGGUCUUUCUCUCCCCCUCUCUGUCUUCCCAUCCUCUCUCCAUUUCUCUCUGUCCUAUCCAAUAAUGAAGGCAGCAAUAACAACAACAACAAUAAACAACAAGGGCAACAAAAGGGGGGGGGGGAAGCCUCCAGGAGCGGUGGAUUCAUAGUGUAGGCACCAAGCCCCAGCAAUAACCCUGGAUGCAAAAAAAAAAAAAAAAUCCUGUAUUCAUACAGGUUCCAGAAAGGCUACUCUAGGCCUUCAUGAAAGCUCAACAAAGUUCUUUAAAAAAAAAAAAAGUUUUUAUUCUCACAUUGCCAAUUUCAUGUUCCCAUUUACCCUAUAUCCAGAGCACGCCUGAGGAUGCCCUGUGGUUUCACAAAAAUACAUAAUGCAGUAUUUUUUUUACACUGCAGAUUGCCAGCACUGGCUCUAAACCAAAGAAAUAAGCAUUUCUCAAACACUUUGACAUGUGACAACUGAUAUUUGGCAUUUAACCAGCAGGUGGCGCUAUCUCCCCAAGUAGGUCACCAAAACUGUCUUCAGCUCCAGAAGUCAGAACUUCCAGACAGAACAUGAGAUUCUCUUCCCAAUGGUACAUAGCAAUCCAGACUUGAAAAGGAUUUGCCUUCCUAGGAAGCUGGGAAACAAUAGGAAGGCCUUGUGAUUGACCAUGUGAACAUUACCAAGAUGCCACUGCCAGCAAAUGUGAUGGAUGUUACAAGGCUGUACUUGCAAUGAAAUGAAUGUUGGUGACCGCUCAAAAUUAAGUGAAAGCCCUUAACUCCAA
Long non-coding RNA from Erinaceus europaeus (western European hedgehog), 958 nucleotides. RefSeq lists it as uncharacterized. Lineage: Eukaryota; Metazoa; Chordata; Mammalia; Eulipotyphla; Erinaceidae. The transcript is spliced from 2 exons. The record is from RefSeq and is a predicted model, not a curated record.